This 253-nucleotide ribosomal RNA is filed under the name uncultured bacterium. RNAcentral describes it as "partial 16S ribosomal RNA". It matches the Rfam family "Bacterial small subunit ribosomal RNA", at positions 524 to 776 of the family's 1533-position model. The record is from RNAcentral.
UACAGAGGUCUCAAGCGUUGUUCGGAUUCAUUGGGCGUAAAGGGUGCGUAGGCGGCGCGGUAAGUCGGGUGUGAAAUCUCGGGGCUUAACUCCGAAACUGCAUUCGAUACUGCCGUGCUUGAGGACUGGAGAGGAGACUGGAAUUUACGGUGUAGCGGUGAAAUGCGUAGAUAUCAGGAGGAACACCGAUGGCGAAGGCGGGUCUCUGGGCCGAUACUGACGCUGAGGAGCGAAAGCGUGGGGAGCAAACGGG